UGCCCCUUUUCCCCACCCUGUGAGUAAAAUUGCCCCCACCUUGACUUGCCAGGCCUCAGUGACAACCGAAAGACCCAAGAAGGGGAAACGGACCAGCCGCAUGUGGUGCACCCAGAGCUUUGCCAAGGAUGACACCAUUGGACGGGUUGGUCGUCUCCACGGCUCUGUUCCCAACCUGUCUCGCUACCUGGAGUCUCGGGACUCCUCAGGCACCCGUGGGCUGCCACCCACAGACUAUGCCCACCUGCAGCGCAGCUUCUGGGCCCUGGCCCAGAAGGGUAAGUGCAUGCUGGGGGAGCUGAUGGGGAGCGGACAGGAGCGAGCGAGGACUCUGAUGGUCUGCCCCACCUCCUGUAGUGCACAGCUCCCUCAGCAGCGUCCUGGCCGCCCUCACCACGGAACGGGACCGACUGAGGGACAUGCACCAGGGCUCAGAGUUGUCAAGGAUGGCGGUGAGGCCUGGGGGACAGGGUGGCUGGUGGGGGGAGAGGGCUUGAAGCUGAGGACUGCCAGCCUGGGGUCCGAUAGCAGAUCUGGGUCAGGGUUGGGAGGGGGUUGGCAGAGGAAGUCUCUGCAGA
RNAcentral lists this small RNA (578 nucleotides) under Pongo abelii (Sumatran orangutan). RNAcentral's name for it is "retained intron". The record is from RNAcentral. Lineage: Eukaryota; Metazoa; Chordata; Mammalia; Primates; Hominidae.